UACGAAUGGGGCUAGCGUUGUACGGAAUUACUGGGCGUAAAGCGUGCGCAGGCGGCCAUUUAAGUCAGGGGUGAAAGCCUGGGGCUCAACCCCAGAACUGCCCUUGAGACUGGAUGGCUGGAGUGCGGGAGAGGUGAGUGGAAUUCCCAGUGUAGAGGUGAAAUUCGUAGAUAUUGGGAAGAACACCCGUGGCGAAGGCGGCUCACUGGCCCGUAACUGACGCUCAGGAACGAUAGCGUGGGGAGCAAACAGG
This 253-nucleotide ribosomal RNA is filed under the name uncultured bacterium. Its description in RNAcentral is "partial 16S ribosomal RNA". It matches the Rfam family "Bacterial small subunit ribosomal RNA", at positions 524 to 776 of the family's 1533-position model. The record is from RNAcentral.